AACGCAGCGAAGGGCGAUAAGUAAUGUGAAUUGCAGAAUUCAGUGAAUCAUCGAAUCUUUGAACGCACAUUGCGCCCGCCAGUAUUCUGGCGGGCAUGCCUGUCUGAGCGUCAUUUCAACCCUCAAGCAACUUCUGCUUGGUGUUGGGGAUCGGCCGUCAAACGCCGCCCCCGAAAUCUAUUGGCGAUCUCGCUGUAGCUUCCUAUGCGUAGUAGUAACAUCUCGCAUCUGGAGAGCGGCGCGGUCACGCCGUAAAACACCCAACUUUUCAGGUUGACCUCAGAUCAGGUAGGAAUACCCGCUGAACUUAA
Molecule: ribosomal RNA, 311 nt
Filed under: uncultured fungus
Lineage: Eukaryota; Fungi
Description: eukaryotic LSU rRNA
Rfam family: 5.8S ribosomal RNA (bases 1-113)
Source: RNAcentral